Molecule: RNA transcript, 1852 nt
Organism: Zea mays
Lineage: Eukaryota; Viridiplantae; Streptophyta; Magnoliopsida; Poales; Poaceae
Exons: 12
Source: RefSeq, marked validated
ACUCCAGCCCAUUAGGCCCAUCAAUCGAACUGCACCUAGGACUAGGAGAGUGCUUUGAGAUUGCAGAAAUGAGCCUGAGCCUUGAAGCGUUGUACUUGUAGGAUGGAGGACGCCAGGACGGGUCGCGCGUGGGCCCGCUUAUCCCUUUCCCUUCGCUUCGACAAAACCUCCAAUACACACACACACCUCCGUUCCUCCCUCACGCCGGCGGCCUGUAUCCCUCUCCCCAUGGCUGCUGGACUGGGAGCGCGCCCCUCCGCCACCUUCGUGGCCGGAAGGUUCCGGCCUCUCGCUGCCCCUCUCCGCCCCGUCCGCUCCGGCAAGUUCGUUGUGCCAAAGCGAUGCUUCAUUGUAUCAAGCAGGCUUGCAUGGGUGGAAGAUGAGCUUAUGGAGAUACAAAAGUCACAAGAGCAAAGUUCAGUAAAAUCAAAGAAAAGGCCACCUUUGAGGCGUGGAAAGGUCUCCCCACAACUUCCUGUACCAGGGCACAUUCCAAGACCAUCUUAUGUUGGUGCGAAAGGAUUGCCUGAACUAUGCAAGGGCCAAUUACAUGAUGCUCAAGGAAUUACUGGAAUGAGAGCUGCUUGCAAACUUGCUGCCCGUGUUCUUGACUUCGCUGGGACUUUAGUUAAGCCAUCCAUUACUACAAAUGAAAUUGACGCAGCAGUCCAUAAUAUGAUCAUUGAGGCUGGUGCUUAUCCUUCUCCACUUGGCUAUCAUGGAUUUCCUAAGAGUAUAUGUACAUCAGUAAAUGAGUGUGUCUGUCAUGGGGUACCUGAUUCAACUCAGCUGCAGAAUGGGGAUAUUAUAAAUAUUGAUGUAAAUGUGUUCCUGAAUGGAUACCAUGGGGGUACCUCCAGAACAUUUGCAUGUGGACAAGUGGAUGAUUCUAUCAAACAUUUUCUCAAUGCAGCUGAAGAAUGCUUGGAGAAAGGCAUUUCUAUCUGCAGGGAUGGUGUGAACUACAGAAAGAUUGGCAAGAAAAUAAGCAAGCUUGCCUAUUUUUAUGGCUAUUAUGUGGUGGAACGCUUUGUUGGGCAUGGGAUUGGAACUAUGUAUCAUUCUGAGCCACUAAUUCUACAUCAUGGGAUCAAUGAAACCCCCAUGACCAAUCCAGGUUUGAAAGCUGGCAUGAACUUCUUGAGAACAAAAUCAGUGGGAUGUCUCUCUUGCCUACCAACGAAAACUCAGGGCGUAUGGUUGAGGGCCAAACAUUUACAAUUGAACCUAUACUCACAAUGGAGAAAACAGAGUGUGUUACAUGGGAAGAUGGAUGGACGACUGUCACUGCUGAUGGUAGCUGGGCUGCGCAGUUUGAGCAUACCAUACUGGUGACUAGGGACGGUGCAGAAAUACUGACGAAAGUCUGAGCUAUUCUCCUGCCCGAUAAUUAUUGUCAGAAUUCUCAGCUAUGGUUCCUGUCCCAAGGCAUCCUGGUCAUGUCCGUUGCUCGCCGCAAUACUCAUUUCAGAGUUUUGAGAUCUGCUGCAGGCCGACAUACGGGAAAGGUUUCCCCCAUGUAGCAGCAACUUGCAGGUGAUAGGUGAGGGCACACACACACACAGAGACACGGCUGCAUCUCUGUGAUUAACACAUUACUGGUCUCCUGCAGCCUGCUGUAGUGGUGUUGCUGUGCCUUUGGAUUCUAGAAGACAUUCUGUAUAUAAAACAGCACUCCUAACAGUUCAGUCUAGAACCUAGAAGUAGAAACUGUUAUUGUUAUGAUACGGAAGCACUUUAGGGGAACAGUUGGAGACACAUUUUUAUGUUUUUCAAAAAAAAAAUGAUUUAGAAAAGACUUAUAGGGAGCUCUUGGAAAUGCUCUAAUAAAAACAUCUCCUAAAAUUUUGUU